Molecule: ribosomal RNA, 373 nt
Filed under: uncultured Bacteroidota bacterium
Lineage: Bacteria; Pseudomonadati; Bacteroidota
Description: bacterial SSU rRNA
Rfam family: Bacterial small subunit ribosomal RNA
Source: RNAcentral
UAAUACGGAGGGUGCAAGCGUUAUCCGGAUUUAUUGGGUUUAAAGGGUCCGUAGGCGGGAUGAUAAGUCAGUGGUGAAAGCCCAUAGCUCAACUAUGGAACUGCCAUUGAAACUGUCAUUCUUGAAUCUAGUUGAAGUGAACGGGAUGUAACAUGUAGCGGUGAAAUGCAUAGAUAUGUUACAGAACACCAAUUGCGAAGGCAGUUCACUAAGCUAGUAUUGACGCUGAGGGACGAAAGCGUGGGUAGCGAACAGGAUUAGAUACCCUGGUAGUCCACGCCGUAAACUAUGAUAACUCGGUGCUGGCGAUAUACUGUCAGUGCCCAAGCGAAAGUGAUAAGUUAUCCACCUGGGGAGUACGAUCGCAAGGUUG